AUACUUAUACCUGCUCCUUAUUAUUCGCUGAGUUGUGACAAUGUGUUCCUUGAAUCUCACAUUUUAUUGGCUAAGGGUCCUGUCAUUCUGAGUGCUUCUGGAGAGUUUCAGACACUGCAGUUUCUUUCCAAGCCCAGAUUGUUUUUCAGCUUCUGCACUUCAACAAACUGGGGGAUAAUAUAGAGUAUUUAACACUGUCCUCCUGAAAACAAAUAAAACCCUUUUAUAAUUUAUACCUGAUUUUACCCUGCCAGUGGACUUCUGAUAUCAGGGCCAUUUGCAGGGUAAAAGCAGCUUAAGAAAAGUCUACUUUUUGCUUUAAAAAAAAAAAAAAAAAAAAAAAAAAAAAGCAAAAACUACAUGAGCAGAACUUUAAUUGAAGUGCUCGUAGAAAGGUCCUGCGAGGAGUUCCCUGGUAGUCUAGAGGCUGAGGAUCAGUGUUGUCAUUGCUGUGAAUCAGGUCACUGCUGUGGCCCAGGUUCAAUCCCUGGCAGGGGAACUUCUGCAUGCUACAAGCUUGGCCAAAAAAUGGUCUUGCUAAGCUUAAUGUUGUCACCACUGACCUAAUGGAAAACAAAAUUAUUCUGUUUGUCUUACAACAACUUAUUGCUCCACAGAACAGAGCUUCCUAAAACAAACUAGCUCUGAAACGUAACAGUUUCAAGGAGAGAAGAUAUUGCAGGAAGGGAAACCUGCCUGGUUUAUUUUUGUCCUAAGUGGAUUUUAUUUUUUAAAAUCAAGUAGGUUUCUGUGUCAUUAAAAAUGUGUCUCAGGGCCCUCAGAUUUCUAGGGCUUUUCUGAGGAAACUCCUGCAAACAGGUUUGAAAAGUACACUACUUGGUAGUGAAGGUGAUGGUUUGAUAAAUCAGCUUUGUAGGAAUUAGGAAUUAUUCAACUAACUGAAAGACUGAAAGAAAUAUUCCGGUCAACAGGAGGUACAAGGGUGGUUGGGAGACCAGAAAUUAAAGCUGUUGCCCAAAAACUCUCAGAAAUCUAUGAGUGGGCAAAUUCAGAUCCUCAGAGACAUAGAAGACAAAGUCAAGCCUCCAUGGCCAGUGGUUGAAGCAGAAUGUAUGUAAGGAAGGUUAAUUCAUCACACAGGCAGGGUGGCGCAUUAAGCACACCAGUGAGACGGGCAGGGCAUAAAAGAAACAGUCAGAUUUUAGUGGGAAGAGAGGGACUGUGUCCCGAGAACAAGAGGAACAGGAGUUCUUGUUGGGGGAAUGAGAUGGAGAAGGAUGGGGACACACAGAAGAGACCUCCUUGAGUGGCUAUACAUAUUGUGAGAUAAAUUUAGCAAAGCAGGUGCACAAAUGAGCAAUAGGAAGAAGUAGAGACUACCAAAUAUUUUGAACAUCCAUCUCUCAAAUUCAGUCCUUAAUAUCAAAUAUUUUUGAAAUGGAAAUGUCUUCACAGCUGUGUAUCAUGGCUUAUUGUCUACUGAAUCUGAUGAGAGGUUAACUAGGUGACAUAAAACUUUGAUUAUGUUAUACCUUCAGUAAAUGCUUGUACAAAAUUAUUGUGGACUUUGAUCAUUCCAUGAGACUCUUAUUAUGUUAGGAGCAUGAAAAAUGUGACCCCAAAUCAAAUUUAAUUGUAAUAAAGAUGAGGGAACAUAAUUCUACCCUUUCAUUAAAAGGUAGAAUUUUAUUCCCUCCUUAGAAGGAUCUACAAACAUGUCUAUUUUACUUGAAUUUCACAGUAUUUCUACCAGUGCACUAUGUAAAAUUGGAAUCCAGAGAUCUGUCUGUCAUAACAGGAUUUUGGAAUAUGAAAUGGCCUCUGGUGUCAGAAGAUGUAGGUUCAAAUCCAAGUUCCAACACUUUGUAGCUCUCUGAGCUUGGUCAUGUUGAUUUUGUGAAGGCUCAUUUUUCUUGAGGUAUAAUGAUGAUACUCGUGUAUAGGAUUUUUGUGAGGAUUAGACUAAGUAAUGUACAUACAUUUUAUUAAUGUAGCACCUAUCUCAGUAAAUGAAAGGUUUUUUUGUUUUGUUUUUGUUUGUUUUAACGCUGUUGUGACCUUAAGGUCCUUCGAGGACCUAUAUAAUCUGGCACCCGGCUCUCUAUUUCUUCUCACUCUUCUUCCCUCUCCCUCUGCUCCAGCCAUGUUGACCCUCUAGCCAUUUCCCAAACAUGCCUCACGCACUUCCACCCAGAGGACUCUGCCUUUGCAACUCCUUUUGCCUGGAACUCUUCUACUCGCAAGUCUGACCUCUUUAUUCAGGCCUCAGCUCAAGUGUCAACUCCCCUGAGAAAUGCGACUUAAUGCUCUGUCUAAAACAGCGCCCCCUAUUGCUCUCUUUCCCAUUACACUAGGUUCUGCUUUUUCAUGGUCACUUAUCACCACUAGACAUUAGGUUAUGGUUGUAUUUUCCCUUUGUUCAUUCUCACCUGGACAUCAGGUCCAUGUGAGCAGCGUCUUUGAUCACCUCUGUGCCCCAGAGCCUAGAGCCUAGCGAGUUCAUAAAAAACUUAGCCAAUAAUGCUGAUGAUGGAAACAGCCGUGGAACCCUAUGCUCUUCAGGAUUACAGGGAUAUAGAUGCACUGACCAGAGAGCAAAUAUCACAUUGGCUUGAUAUUUAAAAUGUUUAAAAUGUAUACAAAAUUUUCUUAUUGAGCGGAAAGGAGAGACUUAAAUUUGCCCAUCACAUCCCAAGGACCAAACGAUAAGGAGAAUACAGAAUCCCAAUAUUCUUUACACAGUGGAUGCAAAUAAAUGCUCAUCAAAGUAGAUGGAAUGGGAGAAAGCUGAUACAAAGCACGGGGCCAGUGGUCUAGCGGAGAUCCAGGGCAAAUCCUGGGUGAAGAAUUUUAGCUGGUCAUCUUUCUGAGUUUUCUGUUUGUUUGUUUUCUGCCUUCCAGGCUCUGUUGAAAUCUAAUUGUCCUGGUUCUGACUCUCCUUAAUUGUUGCAUAGCAUCUAGAGACAUUGAAUCCAUAACAAUUGGAGAGAAAUAUACAUUCAGGAUGGCGUUCAAGGCCUUCUCAUCACAUCCACGCAUGCCUGUGCACCCACAUACACACAUACACGUAUGGAUCCAAUGAAAGGAUUGGCAGUUCAGAGAAGACUUUAAGAUCUUUCCAUUUUGGCCAACUUUCAGUUAGUCAUGACGAUAAAAUAGACUGUUUUUAGAUUUCUCUUUUCCCUGUAACUGAAGGACAAUAUACGACGCAUAGAGCUUAUGUAAGCGUUAUCCCUGCUGACAUUCCAAAUGAGCAGAUCAGCUGCCACCUAAUCAUUCCAUUGCAGCUUGGAUUUGGCAAUCUUUUAGAGAAUACUGAAUUUGAAGGAACAUCUGCCUUUUACUUCUCAUUUAUGCCGGCACCUCUGGCUGCUUCCAGAAACUUCCUAACACAAUAAACGUACUAGGAAGAGUUCCACUGUGGCUCAGUGGUAAUGAACCCGACUGGCAUCCAUGAGGAUGCAGGUUCGAUCCCUGGCCUCGCUCAGUGGUUUAAGGGUCCGGCAUUGCUGCAAGCUGUGGUCACAGACUCAGCUCAGAUCUGGCAUUGCUGUGGCUGUGGUGUAGGCUCACAGCUCUAAUCUGACCCUUAGCCUGGGAACUUCCAUAUGCCACAGGUG
RNAcentral lists this long non-coding RNA (3581 nucleotides) under Sus scrofa (pig). RNAcentral's name for it is "lncRNA (ENSSSCG00000061075.1)". Lineage: Eukaryota; Metazoa; Chordata; Mammalia; Artiodactyla; Suidae. The record is from RNAcentral.